GACGAACGCUGGCGGCGUGCCUAAUACAUGCAAGUCGAACGCACAGUUUAUACCGUAGCUUGCUACACCAUAGACUGUGAGUUGCGAACGGGUGAGUAACGCGUAGGUAACCUGCCUGGUAGCGGGGGAUAACUAUUGGAAACGAUAGCUAAUACCGCAUAAUAUUGAUUAUUGCAUGAUAAUUGAUUGAAAGAUGCUAUUGCAUCACUACCAGAUGGACCUGCGUUGUAUUAGCUAGUAGGUGAGGUAACGGCUCACCUAGGCGACGAUACAUAGCCGACCUGGGAGGGUGAUCGGCCACACUGGGACUGAGACACGGCCCAGACUCCUACGGGAGGCAGCAGUAGGGAAUCUUCGGCAAUGGACGAAAGGCUGACCGAGCAACGCCGCGUGAGUGAAGAAGGGUUUCGGAUCGUAAAGCUCUGUUGUAAGAGAAGAACGGGUGUGAGAGUGGAAAGUUCACACUGUGACGGUAUCUUACCAGAAAGGGACGGCUAACUACGUG
Molecule: ribosomal RNA, 505 nt
Filed under: uncultured bacterium
Lineage: Bacteria
Description: partial 16S ribosomal RNA
Rfam family: Bacterial small subunit ribosomal RNA
Source: RNAcentral